UUCCUGUCUGUACAUUGAGAAGUACACUUCACAGUGGCACAAUGACCUCCACGUCCCCAGCCCUGCCGAGUGAGUAGACGUAGGACAGGAAACAUUAUGUCAUGGUUCAUGGUAUCAAGAAGAGCUCAAACAUGGAAGAAACUUGACAGAGGAGAAUUUAUGGCGACAAUGUCACCAGAAGAGCUGAAGCUGGUUUCCCACAGGAACCAGAACUCUGAAGUAAGCAAGGAAGUCCCCGAAGACUCUAUAGAGCCAACAGCUGCCACUUGGAAAGUCAGCUUCCCCAAACCAAUCUAUCUAAACGUGAGUUCAGGGACAACCUCAACUACUGGCCUGACACCAAAAUAUAAAGCAUUAUCGGCUUAACUCUUAA
This 373-nucleotide long non-coding RNA is filed under the name Rattus norvegicus (Norway rat). RNAcentral's name for it is "long non-coding RNA NONRATT015090". The record is from RNAcentral. Lineage: Eukaryota; Metazoa; Chordata; Mammalia; Rodentia; Muridae.